Molecule: ribosomal RNA, 472 nt
Filed under: uncultured bacterium
Lineage: Bacteria
Description: SSU rRNA
Rfam family: Bacterial small subunit ribosomal RNA
Source: RNAcentral
AGGACGAACGCUGGCGGCGUGCUUAACACAUGCAAGUCGAGCGGAAAGGCCCUUCGGGGUACUCGAGCGGCGAACGGGUGAGUAACACGUGAGUAAUCUGCCCCUAGCUCUGGGAUAGCUCCGGGAAACCGGGAUUAAUACCAGAUACGACCACUUUAGACAUCUGUUGUGGUGGAAAGAAUUUUGGCUAGGGAUGAGCUCGCGGCCUAUCAGCUUGUUGGUGAGGUAACGGCUCACCAAGGCGACGACGGGUAGCCGGCCUGAGAGGGCGACCGGCCACACUGGGACUGAGACACGGCCCAGACUCCUACGGGAGGCAGCAGUGGGGAAUAUUGCGCAAUGGGCGAAAGCCUGACGCAGCGACGCCGCGUGGGGGAUGAAGGCCUUCGGGUUGUAAACCCUUUCAGCAGGGACGAAGCGAAAGUGACGGUACCUGCAGAGAAGCGCCGGCUAACUACGUGCCAGCAGCCGC